RNAcentral lists this long non-coding RNA (725 nucleotides) under Setaria viridis. Its description in RNAcentral is "long non-coding RNA (SVIR_LNC010533)". The record is from RNAcentral. Lineage: Eukaryota; Viridiplantae; Streptophyta; Magnoliopsida; Poales; Poaceae.
AAGAUCUAAGCCUUAUGCUAAUUGCCUUAGUCUUCUCUUAAGCACUUUGGUGGAUAUAACACUUGUGUUUAUGUGAAAAUCAAGCCUAUAACACCCUUCAAAUGGCCGGCCAAUGGGGUAUUUAUAGUCCAAACAUGAAGAACUAGCCAUUACUCAUAAAAGGUUGAUUUUACUGUUAACACUAGAUGAUAUGAUGAUUUUAUUGUUGAUACUGUAUGAAUUGGUGAUAUGUGAUGGUGAGGAAUUUGAGUACGAUGAUAAGGAAUCAUAAUGAUAAAAACUAGCCAUUAUGUUGAAUAUUUUGCUCUCUUAUAGCUGAAACAUAAUGAUACAUGAUCGACCUUACAUUGAUCCUCCAAUAUUCAAGACAGAGAGGAGACAAAACUCAUCAUAGGAAUCCGGUGAUGGCAACUGAUCCGAUGUGAAUAUAUAGUAAUUCAUAGGAUGAUAUGGUCAUAUAUGAUGGUGAAGAAUCUUCACUAUUUUGCUUUAUUUGUUCAUGUGUCUUUGUCUCGGCUUGUCUUUUAUGAUGUCUUGAGUCCUGUAGAUGUCGUCUUGACAUUGUUUGUGAUGUUUGAUCACCCAAGUCCAUCACCUUGCAUCUAUAUGACCAAAACCUAUUGUAUACUCACAAAUAUCGUUAGUGUCAAUGGUUAGUGCUGAUACACAAUCACCAAAAUCAUUAAUGGGCUAUGCUAGAUCCAUUUUCCCUACACACAAAAAGU